Molecule: RNA transcript, 2161 nt
Organism: Chinchilla lanigera (long-tailed chinchilla)
Lineage: Eukaryota; Metazoa; Chordata; Mammalia; Rodentia; Chinchillidae
Exons: 2
Source: RefSeq, a predicted model, not a curated record
ACGGGCUCCCCCCACCCCCCAGCAAAACUUAACGGUUCCUCUUCUUCCCUGCUGAGAGCAAGACGUGGACAGGCGCCGCGUAGAUCCGGGGAGGCUCCAAAGUUGGAACCAGUAGCAGGGCUGCGCCACUGCCCUCCUCCCUCCCGUCCCGCGGUCGGAAGAGCAUCCCUUCGCCGGCCCCUUUUCGGCUUCGGGUGCUGUAAAGGGCGGGCAGGCAGCUGCGGGGAGAGCUGAGGGCAGGCCUCAGCUCGUCCUGGGAUGGGUGACGAGUUCGGGAUUAGUUUGGGAUUGUGUGGGGAUCCUUCAUAACAUCGCCCUGCCCAUCCCUCGGUGCUUUGAAGUCUUGGGGUGGGGCGAGUCUUCAGAGGUGGGGAUGGAUAGGAAACGCCCAUGGGCUGCAGCCUUCUAUCUUUGGAGUCUUCUCUCGUCUCCUCCUCGGCCUCUGGCCUUGCGCUUCUUACAAGCCAGUCCUAAUGACACUAACUUCCCUGGCCUCGCAGUAACUUUAGUCUUUUCCCAGACUUCUACUCCACCCCAGUCCUCAACAUAUUUGAAGUAGGGAUCCCCUCACGGAAUGUUAGGUGAGGCCCAUACUUUUUUUUUUUUUUUUUUUUUAACAGAUAGGGACCCACUUCUUGGGAACAGUCAAUUUAAGAUGAGAACCUUGGUUUCCGCAGCAUCGCUGUUUGCAGGAAAGCAGUGGGUGUUCCAGGGAGCCUGGUCCAGAGCUAUUUCUACCUAAAGACACUGGAAACCCAGUGGGUGUGUCAGUGUACUGUCUCCCCUUCUUGGAAAGUGGUGAUGUUCAUUAGCAUAGCGAGGACGCUAAGAUCCUGGGUGCGGAAGUCCAAGCACAGUAAUUUAGUUCACUGUGUUAAUGCUUCUGGGCCCUGAUCAGUGUUUCCCACCUCAAGGUUCCAGGCAUCUCUUUGCUGUCCCAAUUCCUGUUUGUUCCUGCAGUCUGGUCUGUCUAAGAUUUUGGAAACUUCUUUGCAAGGGAAUUUUUCUAACAGGGAGACCCAGCCCGGUGAGGAAGGAACUUGCUGCCUCUUGCCAGCCAGAGACCUGGGAACUGGUGAAGUCAAGCAUUUCUUUACACUGUUGGAGAAAUGAAGCCAAGGUUAUCCAGAUGGCUUCCCAGUUGAAAGGCUUGUCACCUGUGAGAGAUCCUGGCACUGACUGUGAGCCACUGGCAGGGUGUACCCUGCUCACCACAGAGAAGACAAAUCUCUGGAGCCAGGGUGAACAGCCAGUCUGCCUCCAAGGCUUCCGUGUUGCUGAGGCCAUGGAGAUUUCCAGAGCUGGUCAAGCUGGCCUCUCCCAGGGCCCACUGUCCUGGCUGGCAAUACCGUUCUGGCCUGGGCCAGCAGAAAGUUUCAGUGACUUUACUGGCAGUUGGGGCAAGUGGGAGAGGCAAUGACCUCUGCCUAGCGGCCUCCUUCUACACUGUUCAAUGGAAGAUUAAUUUAGCUUCAACCCAAGAGAAUUCCUGAUUCCUUUGAUGCUGUGAUUUGGGCACAAGAUUCCAGACACCUAGAAUGGAGCCUUGUACUCCUGUACGCUUAACAGUGGGGUUUAUAGUCAGCCUUUUUUCUUUUGCUUUUUUAAGGUCACCAUCUAAAUUGCAUCCUUAGCUCAAGACCAACCCGCCCCCCUCAGAUCUCUUUCUUGGUCCCACAGCCCCAGGUCUGUGGCCAGGUGACCUUACUCAGGAGCAGAUAUAUUGAUACUCAUGGUGCCUUAAUCCACCAGACUGGCCUAUAGCAUUCCGGAGCUCACUGGCUCUUCCAGAUGUGCCUUCCUGCUUGGUUUCCAGCGGCUUGGCGGUCCCUCUGCCAGAUGUGAGAAGGAUGGAUAAGAUUGUGGCCAUACCAGCCCUCCCUCUCAAGGGCCUGUGCCAUAGCUAUGGCCACCUGGUUCAGCCCAGAACUUUUGGCUCCUUCCUUGACACCAGGAGUCAGGUCACCCCAAGGUCCUGGCCCAAAUGUUGGAGACCAUUUGUGUAUCCAGGAGACAGCUCUGACCGUGUUCUGUAAAGGUCGAGCGAGCCUCCUUGGGAGGAGUGUGGGUAGCAAGGGAGAGAGGACUGAUGCACCUUAUUCAGUAGUUCCAUAGUGAGUGGUUCCAUUAUGCUUUUCUGAAUAAAAUGUGUUUUGUCUGA